Molecule: long non-coding RNA, 412 nt
Organism: Amblyraja radiata (thorny skate)
Lineage: Eukaryota; Metazoa; Chordata; Chondrichthyes; Rajiformes; Rajidae
Exons: 2
Source: RefSeq, a predicted model, not a curated record
UGACGGCUGAACUGGAUAAAUUUAUCCUGACCAUUUGGAAUAGCAGGAGAUAGUUAAAGAUUUGGAAACAGGGUCAGCUAAACACUGACAGUGCUAAAUUAAUCUCGACCAUUUGGAAUGGUACGAAGAAAUUAAAAACAAUUGAAUUCGGAUCCAGUGAAAAGCCAUGGAUUGUAAAACGUUAACGUCAUUAUUAUAUUGUUGUAAGAAUAAAGUAUAAGAAUUUUAAUACUGUGUAUAGAUUAAAUUGGUUGUGAAUAUAGUAUUGAUAAGUGUGAUAAAUAUAUUAAUUGUGACAAGUGAAUUAAGAUGGGUAAUCACUUAGAUAACACCAAGAGUCCUAGCAGCCCAUUGCAGAUUUUAUGUAACAAACAAUGGCCUCUGGGGGGUCCUAGAAAUCCAGAUCUGGUAA